UUUUAAUAUAAAAUAAUCAACUGCACUAUGUUCUGCUGUAUUUCUAUAUCUACAUUAAUAUAAAAAUGUGAUAUAAUAAUAACCAUUACAUCUCAUAUACAAAAUAAUAAAUAAUAUUUUCGCUUUCUUCUUCCAUAAAGAAUAAUGACUUAAAAAUAUAUGGUCGGAACCUGUUAAUGCGAGGGGUUGAGAUUCACGGUAAGGGUAGACUAUAUGAACUCAUCUAUUUUCCUAUGUUGUCAGCACGGGCUCGACUGUGCAUUUGUAGUGCGCUCAGAGCGUAUACUUGGCUUAUCGGCGACGGAGUGGGGUACGUAGUAUCAAAAACGUAAGGAGAAUAAGAGUUCUUCAUCUUUGUGUGACAGUGUAGUGCUGCUGACUGUUUCUUAAUUAGGAACUACAGCUGAAAUUUGUAUUAACAAAAACUCUUUGUGUACGCCAAACUCCUUAUUGUGAUACUGAAGCGUGUGUAUAUAUAUAUAUUCAAAUUUCAAGUGUUGUUCCUCAAUGAAGAAACAGGUAUCAACACUAUACUGCCACACAAACAUGACGGUCUCUCAUUCCCCUUACCUUUUUGGCAUCACUUUACCGUAACUAGGCACUCUCCUUAUGGUCCGUGGUUCUUGGUUAUAUUCGGGUGGUAGCAUGGACUUAAUAACUCCAUGGUGGGAAUCAAACGAUCUCAAAUGGAUCCGAGUGAUACCGAGUCAAACGGAAUACAGCCAAAGUGCACGUAGCCUCACCUUACGGCGGAUCCCUUGCCGUAAUCCAUAUAUGCCCCCACCCAUAUAUUCUUUGGUCUAUGGUAUAUGAGCAUAUUGUAUAGUGAUAGCUAAGUUUCUGCAAGCUUCUCCGGUCGAAGCGCGCUUCGUUAGCGAUAAUAGGAGUAUAAAUUGCAUUGCUCUGAUUGGCUAACGACUCAAUGCUAAGAAAGAAUCCACUGCGAAUUUCAUGCGCAGAUACAAGCUCUUCCUUGGGGAGGAAAAAAAACCGUGUAGGAGUUGAGGUAUCAUUGUAGACGCAGGGUAUUUGAUUGUUUGAUAGUACUCGGAUAAAACGUUAAAAUAUGAAUCUUUAGAUAAAUAUAAGACAGAAAUCACUAACAAAAAUGCGAUUUCAGUAUCAAUUUAAAGCUAUUAACAAUUAGAAAUCUAUCUUAUCCGCCAAAAGUAGCCUUCGACAGUUGGACUGCGAGAAGCGUUAACGUAUUGGACAAGAGCCAAACACCGUACUAACGGUGACACAAUUAUUGGUUGAUUUAGAUUUUUAAUCACUUUAAAACAAUAACAAAGUAGCAGUUUCUUCAUUCCUUGAUUUCAGUAACAUAUUGUCAUGAACGUUCAUCUUUUAAAUAUUCUCCCGUCUGUUCACGGAUAUUUUGUAUAGCAUUGUACUCGAAAAAUAAUUUAUUGAUUACUACAUGUCCUUUAAUAAUUAUUCUAAUCGUAAUAAAUUCGUAAAUAGUCA
This is a non-coding RNA of Megalopta genalis, 1467 nucleotides long. NCBI's taxonomy places the organism in Eukaryota, Metazoa, Arthropoda, Insecta, Hymenoptera, Halictidae. The record is from RefSeq and is a predicted model, not a curated record.